CUAUGUACAAGUUCUCUCGAUUCUCUGUCUUUUGUUGGUGGUCUACGUGAUGGUGACCCGAGCAUGUAGGACUACUUGUUAAGGGAAAGUCCUAUUGAUCCAUUCUGAAGUAAUACCAAGAAACUGAAAAUGUAAAAUACAGGUGAUUCAAUAUGAAGGGAUGCUCAGAAACAGGACAUAAAGGUGAUUCAGUAUGAAGGGAUGCUCAGAAACAGGACAUAAAGGUAACUUAAGUUGUGUUCUGAAAAAAGGAUUAGCAUUAGGUUGCAAUCAAAAAGAUCUUACAUGAAUAAGUAGAUGUACAGGAAAACCAUGAAAAGGAACGAUAAAGCUAAAGUUGAACAGGCAUGGAAAACACUGACAUUUUUCUCUUUUUUCUCCUCGCUGGCUGAGCAGUUGUUGUAGGAAAAGUUUCUGAGUAUUGUCUGAGUUCGGACUCGAGAAUCCAUACUGUCUGCUUAGAGAGGAAGUAAUGACCACAGUGCUCUUUAAUGUAAACAUGCCAACACAUCUGUUAUUUAAAAACUGAACUAUGAACUUGGAAACUCAGGAAAGGUGUAUUCAUGAAGUUUUAAAAGAAUGAAAUGUCCUUCAAAAAUCAGUGAAAUAAAGUUAUAACAAAAUCAAUGUUUUAGGUACAAACUGUAUGAAGUAAUGGAAAGUUGUACAAGCUCAAGCACGAAUGGGAAUAUUGACUCAUGAGAAAGAAUAACACUACUGUAUAUGCAACACUGUAUGAAAUAGAAGUUGUAGAAACUUUAGUAUGUAAAAA
Limulus polyphemus (Atlantic horseshoe crab) is the source of this 772-nucleotide long non-coding RNA. RefSeq lists it as uncharacterized. The transcript has 10 exons. The record is from RefSeq and is a predicted model, not a curated record. Lineage: Eukaryota; Metazoa; Arthropoda; Merostomata; Xiphosura; Limulidae.